GAUGAACGCUGGCGGCGUGCCUAAUACAUGCAAGUCGAGCGAACAGACGAGGAGCUUGCUCCUCUGACGUUAGCGGCGGACGGGUGAGUAACACGUGUAUAACCUACCUAUAAGACUGGGAUAACUUCGGGAAACCGGAGCUAAUACCGGAUAAUAUAUUGAACCGCAUGGUUCAAUAGUGAAAGACGGUUUUGCUGUCACUUAUAGAUGGAUCCGCGCCGCAUUAGCUAGUUGGUAAGGUAACGGCUUACCAAGGCAACGAUGCGUAGACGACCUGAGUGGGGGAUAGGCCGCCCUGGAGCUGAAACACGGACAAGGCUACUACGGUAGGCCGCAGUAGCGAAUGUGACGCAAUGGGGGGAAGCCUGACGGAGCAAGGGCGCGUGAGUGAUGAAGGUCUUCGGAGCGUAAAACUCUCUUAUUAGUGAAGAACAAAUGUGUAAGUAACUAAGCAGGUAUUGACGGUAACUAAUAAGAAAGCCACGGCUAACUACGUG
This 497-nucleotide ribosomal RNA is filed under the name uncultured bacterium. Its description in RNAcentral is "partial 16S ribosomal RNA". It matches the Rfam family "Bacterial small subunit ribosomal RNA", at positions 28 to 507 of the family's 1533-position model. The record is from RNAcentral.